Molecule: ribosomal RNA, 828 nt
Filed under: Sordariomycetes sp. MUT 1587
Lineage: Eukaryota; Fungi; Ascomycota; Sordariomycetes
Description: eukaryotic LSU rRNA
Rfam family: Eukaryotic large subunit ribosomal RNA
Source: RNAcentral
UAGCAUGCGAGUGUUCGGGUGCCAAACCCCUACGCGAAAUGAAAGUGAACGGAGGUGAGAGCUUCGGCGCAUCAUCGACCGAUCCUGAAGUUUACGGAUGGAUUUGAGUAGGAGCAUGCUGGGCCGGACCCGAAAGAAGGUGAACUAUGCUUGGAUAGGGCAAAGCCAGAGGAAACUCUGGUGGAGGCUCGCAGCGGUUCUGACGUGCAAAUCGAUCGUCAAAUCUGAGCAUGGGGGCGAAAGUAAGUGAAAAUACAGUGGACUCUACAGUGGGCUUAGUGGGCAGUGGGCUAACGUGCAGCAGGACUAAUCGAACCUUCUAGUAGCUGGUUUCCGCCGAAGUUUCCCUCAGGAUAGCAGUGUUGAGCUUCAGUUUUAUGAGGUAAAGCGAAUGAUUAGGGACUCGGGGGCGCUAUUUAGCCUUCAUCCAUUCUCAAACUUUAAAUAUGUAAGAAGCCCUCGUUCCUUCGGUGAACGUGGGCAAUCGAAUGUAUCAGCACUAGUGGGCCAUUUUUGGUAAGCAGAACUGGCGAUGCGGGAUGAACCGAUCGCGAGGAUAAGGUGCCAGAGUAGACGCUCAUCAGACACCACAAAAGGUGUUAUCACAUCUUGACAGCAGGACGGUGGCCAUGGAAGUCGGAAUCCGCUAAGGACUGUGUAACAACUCACCUGCCGAAUGUGAUAGCCCUGAAAAUGGAUGGCGCUCAAGCGUCUCACCCAUACCUCGCCUUCAGGGUAGACACUAUGCCCUGAAGAGUAGGCGGACGUGGGGGUCGUGACGAAGGCUAGGGCGUGAGCCCGGCCAGAACGGCCCCCAGUGCAGAUCUG